AACGAACGCUGGCGGCAUGCCUAACACAUGCAAGUCGAACGCCUGCAGCAAUGCAGGAGUGGCAGACGGGUGAGUAACACGUGGGAAUCUACCCAGUAGCUCGGAAUAACCGCGGGAAACUGCGGCUAAUACCGGAUAAGCCCCGAGGGGGCAAGGAGCAAUACACUAUUGGAGGAGCCCGCGUCUGAUUAGCUAGUUGAUGGGGUAAUGGCCUACCAAGGCGAUGAUCAGUAGCUGCUUUGAGAGAACGACCAGCCACACUGGGACUGAGACACGGCCCAGACUCCUACGGGAGGCAGCAGUGGGGAAUAUUGGACAAUGGGGGAAACCCUGAUCCAGCAAUGCCGCGUGGGUGAUGAAGGCCUUCGGGUUGUAAAGCCCUGUUGUCGGGGACGAUGAUGACGGUACCCGACGAAUAAGCCCCGGCUAACUUCGUGCCAGCAGCCGCCGUAA
This 453-nucleotide ribosomal RNA is filed under the name uncultured bacterium. RNAcentral's name for it is "partial 16S ribosomal RNA". It matches the Rfam family "Bacterial small subunit ribosomal RNA", at positions 29 to 523 of the family's 1533-position model. The record is from RNAcentral.